UACGGGGGGAGCAAGCGUUGUUCGGAUUUACUGGGCGUAAAGGGCGCGUAGGCGGCCAUCUAAGUCAGACGUGAAAUCCCCCGGCUUAACCUGGGAACUGCGUCUGAUACUGGACGGCUCGAGUUUGGGAGAGGGAUGUGGAAUUCCAGGUGUAGCGGUGAAAUGCGUAGAUAUCUGGAGGAACACCGGUGGCGAAGGCGGCAUCCUGGACCAACACUGACGCUGAGGCGCGAAAGCUAGGGGAGCAAACGGG
Molecule: ribosomal RNA, 253 nt
Filed under: uncultured bacterium
Lineage: Bacteria
Description: partial 16S ribosomal RNA
Rfam family: Bacterial small subunit ribosomal RNA
Source: RNAcentral